AUUUGAUGAUGGGGAUAGCUUACACAUAGUUUCUUAAAUCUCUCCCAAUACUCAUAUGAACUCUCUCUAUUGUAUUGCCAGAUGCCACAAAUUUCUUUUCUUAUGUU
Hevea brasiliensis (rubber tree) is the source of this 107-nucleotide small nucleolar RNA. Lineage: Eukaryota; Viridiplantae; Streptophyta; Magnoliopsida; Malpighiales; Euphorbiaceae. The record is from RefSeq and is a predicted model, not a curated record.